Molecule: ribosomal RNA, 484 nt
Filed under: uncultured bacterium
Lineage: Bacteria
Description: bacterial SSU rRNA
Rfam family: Bacterial small subunit ribosomal RNA
Source: RNAcentral
GACGACGCUGGCGGCGUGGAUUAGGCAUGCAAGUCGAACGGUAUCAUCCGUUUCGGGGGUGAGAGAGUGGCGAACUGGUGAGUAACACGUAGGUUAUCUACCCUCAAGACGGGGACAACCCAGGGAAACUUGGGCUAAUACCGGAUGUGAGCAACUUUAGUUGUUUGAAAGGUGGCGUAAGCUGUCGCUUGGGGAUGAGCCUGCGUCCUAUUAGUUAGUUGGUGAGGUAACGGCUCACCUAGGCAAUGAUAGGUAGGCGGCCUUAACGGGUGGUCGCCCACACUGGGAUUGAGAUACGGCCCAGACUCCUACGGGAGGCAGCAGCUAAGAAUAUUCCGCAAUGGACGGAAGUCUGACGGAGCGACGCCGCGUGGAUGAAGAAGGCCGAAAGGUUGUAAAGUUCUUUUGCUAGGGGAGAAUAAGUGUGGGAGGGAAUGCCUGCACGAUGACAAGGACUAGCGAAUAAGUCCCGGCCAACUACGUG